GAAAGUCGGAGUGCAAGAAGUGAAGUCAAGCAACAAGAUUAAGGAGGUGAAUGUAGAUGUUAAUCAUGUUGCUCAUGUAGGAUUAGGAAAGAAAGCCAAACCGAGUCCUAGUAGUAUUAGGAUUCCUAGUCCUAGUCUAUUUCCAUAGUCCCUUGUGGACGUGUAUAAAAGACACCCUAGGGGUGUUGAUUGUAACACCAGAAAAAAGAAAAGCAAUACAAAGCAAAGGCUCGACACGGGCCUUUAGCCAUCAAAUCUAUCGAUCAGUUUUAUUCGUGUCGCUAGUUACGCAAGUUCCGUCAAGUAGCCGGCCGAAGCAAGAAUCGCGUAGGCACGCCUGUACAGCUGCAUACGCACGUUCAAAAGCCAACANUAUACAAAGAACUCCAAAGGCUCAAACCUGCUAGUUGGAGUUUAUGUCGACGAUCUGAUUAUCACCGGAGAUAGCGUACAAGAGAUUGAACGUUUCAAGGCGCAAAUGAAGAACAAGUUUAGCAUGAGUGAUCUGGGAUUACUCAGCUAUUACUUGGGCAUCGAAGUGAAGCAAAGCUCCGGAGAGAUUUCCCUAUGUCAAUCGGCUUACGCGGUCAAGUUAUUGGACAAGUGUGGCAUGUCAGAUUGCUACGCGACACAAGUUCCAAUGGACCAACGUCACAAGUUGAGCAAGCGUAGCUCAAAUCCGCCGGUGGACACCACAAUGUAUCGAAGCGUUGUGGGCAGCCUAACAUAUUUGGUGCAUACCCGACCUGACUUGGCUUAUUCAGUCGGGAUCGUGAGUCGUUUCAUGGAGAAUCCGACAACCGAGCACAUGAGCGCGGUCAAUCAAAUCUUGCGCUAUGUGAAAGGCACCAUUAAUCUUGGUUGCACGUACAGAAAGGGAAAGGAAGGAUUGAUCCUUCGUGGAUAUUCACAUAGCGACAUGGCAGGUGAUGUUGAUGACCGAAAGAGCACAACGGGCAUGGUUUUCUACCUUGGCCCGAAUCCGAUUAGCUGGAAUUCUCAGAAGCAAAAGGUGGUGGCACUGUCUUCAUGCGAGGCAGAAUACAUAGCGGCAAGCACGGCGGCUUGUCAAGCAGUGUGGCUGAGAAGACUCCUAGCUAUUCUUGCAAAGCGGGAGGUGCAGAAGGUGUCACUGAAGAUCGAUAACCAAGCUGCAAUCUCGUUGUGCAAAAAUCCGGUUCAUCACGAAAGGAGCAAGCACAUAGAUACCCGGUUCCACCAUAUCCGGGAGUGCAUUGAAGAAGGGUUGAUCGAGGUUCAACAUGUGAACACGAAAGACCAACUUGCCGAUAUUUUCACCAAGUCCCUCGGUCGACAGAAGUUCAUCGAGAUGAGGAGGAAAGUCGGAGUGCAAGAAGUGAAGUCAAGCAACAAGAUUAAGGAGGUGAAUGUAGAUGUUAAUCAUGUUGCUCAUGUAGGAUUAGGAAAGAAAGCCAAACCGAGUCCUAGUAGUAUUAGGAUUCCUAGUCCUAGUCUAUUUCCAUAGUCCCUUGUGGACGUGUAUAAAAGACACCCUAGGGGUGUUGAUUGUAACACCAGAAAAAAGAAAAGCAAUACAAAGCAAAGGCUCGACACGGGCCUUUAGCCAUCAAAUCUAUCGAUCAGUUUUAUUCGUGUCGCUAGUUACGCAAGUUCCGUCAAGUAGCCGGCCGAAGCAAGAAUCGCGUAGGCACGCCUGUACAGCUGCAUACGCACGUUCAAAAGCCAACA
Molecule: long non-coding RNA, 1710 nt
Filed under: Hordeum vulgare
Lineage: Eukaryota; Viridiplantae; Streptophyta; Magnoliopsida; Poales; Poaceae
Description: long non-coding RNA (HVUL_LNC006395)
Source: RNAcentral